UACAGAGACUGCAAGCGUUAUUCGGAUUCACUGGGCGUAAAGGGUGCGCAGGCGGUCGUGUGUGUCAGGUGUGAAAUCCCGGAGCUUAACUCCGGAACUGCGCCUGAAACUACACGACUAGAGCAUUGGAGAGGGAAGUGGAAUUCAUGGUGUAGCAGUGAAAUGCGUAGAUAUCAUGAGGAACACCAGAGGCGAAGGCGACUUCCUGGACAAUUGCUGACGCUCAGGCACGAAAGCAUGGGGAGCAAAAGGGAUUAGAUACCCCUGUAGUCCAUGCCCUAAACGGUGCACACUAGGUCUUGGAGGAUUCGACCCCUUCAGGGCCCAAGCUAACGCGUUAAGUGUGCCGCCUGAGGACUACGGUCGCAAGACUAAA
RNAcentral lists this ribosomal RNA (376 nucleotides) under uncultured bacterium. Its description in RNAcentral is "bacterial SSU rRNA". It matches the Rfam family "Bacterial small subunit ribosomal RNA", at positions 524 to 898 of the family's 1533-position model. The record is from RNAcentral.